Molecule: ribosomal RNA, 501 nt
Filed under: Macrothelidae gen. 2 sp. 2 ZZY-2021a
Lineage: Eukaryota; Metazoa; Arthropoda; Arachnida; Araneae; Macrothelidae
Description: SSU rRNA
Rfam family: Eukaryotic small subunit ribosomal RNA
Source: RNAcentral
ACCCACUCCCGGCACGGGGAGGUAGUGACGAAAAAUAACAAUACGGGACUCUUUUGAGACCCCGUAAUUGGAAUGAGUACACUCUAAAUCCUUUAACGAGGAUCUAUUGGAGGGCAAGUCUGGUGCCAGCAGCCGCGGUAAUUCCAGCUCCAAUAGCGUAUAUUAAAGUUGUUGCGGUUAAAAAGCUCGUAGUUGGAUCUCAGUUCCAGACGGGCGGUCCGCCUAACGGUGGUUACUGCCUGGCCUGAACAGCCAGCCGGUUUCCCUAGAUGAUCUUCACCGGUUGUCUUGGGUGACCGGCACGUUUACUUUGAAAAAAUUAGAGUGCUCAAAGCAGGCGUGUAGCCUGAAUAAUGGUGCAUGGAAUAAUGGAAUAGGACUUCGUUUCUAUUUUGUUGGUUUUCGGAACACGAGGUAAUGAUUAAGAGGGACAGACGGGGGCAUUCGUAUUGCGACGCUAGAGGUGAAAUUCUUGGACCGUCGCAAGACGAACUACUGCGA